This is a long non-coding RNA of Cydia splendana, 529 nucleotides long. RefSeq lists it as uncharacterized. The transcript has 3 exons. The record is from RefSeq and is a predicted model, not a curated record. Lineage: Eukaryota; Metazoa; Arthropoda; Insecta; Lepidoptera; Tortricidae.
UGUGACUUGGCCGUUGAAGGGUACACAAGGGUACAAAACCAGUUUUUUACAGAAUGUUUUUGGUGGGAUUUCACUUCUUUUUGUAGAAACGUGGGCAUAUUGAUUUAUUUUAUUAGAUUUUCUUAUUUGACAUAUUUUUUUUCUUUUUAGGAGUAUUUGGUUGGGCUCUUGUGUUUUCUAAUCAGGGUCACCAGGUACUCCAGAUCUUCGAUUAUCUUAGUUUUUAUAGUUUUCCCUUUAUGUGGCCAUUAAACCCUAACUUCUCUUCUCUGUACCAAAUUUCAGCUCUCUGAGUUUAUGGGAAGUACUAGUUCUAUUCUGAUGAUCAUAAGUGAGUGAGUGUGUGUCAUAAAUGCGAAACUUUGCUUUCGCUUAACUUCGGAACUAAAUGACCUACAGACUUGAAAUUUUGGAUUUUAAGUAUGUGAUUAUAGCUUACUGGAUGACGAAAAUUUCUGCGUUCUGGUCUUAUCCAGAGGUUCUCAAAUAGGGACCUGAAAAUGCGGCGAAAUGGUUCCAGUAAAGGAUG